RNAcentral lists this ribosomal RNA (733 nucleotides) under uncultured Burkholderia sp. RNAcentral describes it as "bacterial SSU rRNA". It matches the Rfam family "Bacterial small subunit ribosomal RNA", at positions 61 to 789 of the family's 1533-position model. The record is from RNAcentral. Lineage: Bacteria; Pseudomonadati; Pseudomonadota; Betaproteobacteria; Burkholderiales; Burkholderiaceae.
GUCGAACGGCAGCACGGGGGCAACCCUGGUGGCGAGUGGCGAACGGGUGAGUAAUACAUCGGAACGUGUCCUGUAGUGGGGGAUAGCCCGGCGAAAGCCGGAUUAAUACCGCAUACGCUCUACGGAGGAAAGGGGGGGAUCUUAGGACCUCUCGCUACAGGGGCGGCCGAUGGCAGAUUAGCUAGUUGGUGGGGUAAAGGCCUACCAAGGCGACGAUCUGUAGCUGGUCUGAGAGGACGACCAGCCACACUGGGACUGAGACACGGCCCAGACUCCUACGGGAGGCAGCAGUGGGGAAUUUUGGACAAUGGGCGCAAGCCUGAUCCAGCAAUGCCGCGUGUGUGAAGAAGGCCUUCGGGUUGUAAAGCACUUUUGUCCGGAAAGAAAUCCUUUGGCCUAAUACGUCGGGGGGAUGACGGUACCGGAAGAAUAAGCACCGGCUAACUACGUGCCAGCAGCCGCGGUAAUACGUAGGGUGCAAGCGUUAAUCGGAAUUACUGGGCGUAAAGCGUGCGCAGGCGGUUCGCUAAGACAGAUGUGAAAUCCCCGGGCUUAACCUGGGAACUGCAUUUGUGACUGGCGGGCUAGAGUAUGGCAGAGGGGGGUAGAAUUCCACGUGUAGCAGUGAAAUGCGUAGAGAUGUGGAGGAAUACCGAUGGCGAAGGCAGCCCCCUGGGCCAAUACUGACGCUCAUGCACGAAAGCGUGGGGAGCAAACAGGAUUAGAUACCCUG